This 384-nucleotide ribosomal RNA is filed under the name uncultured soil bacterium. RNAcentral's name for it is "bacterial SSU rRNA". It matches the Rfam family "Bacterial small subunit ribosomal RNA", at positions 26 to 392 of the family's 1533-position model. The record is from RNAcentral.
AGGACGAACGCUGGCGGCGUGCUUAACACAUGCAAGUCGAGCGGUAAGGCCCUUUCGGGGGUACACGAGCGGCGAACGGGUGAGUAACACGUGAGCAAUCUGCCCUUCACUUCGGGAUAAGCCUCGGAAACGGGGUCUAAUACCGGAUAUGACCGCGCUACGCAUGUGGUGUGGUGGAAAGUUCUGGCGGUGGAGGAUGAGCUCGCGGCCUAUCAGCUUUGGUUGGUGGGGUUAAUGGUCCCUACCGAAGGCUUCGGACGGGUACGCCGGCCUGAGGAGGGUCGACCGGCCACGACUGGGGACUGAGACCACCGGCCCAGACUCCGUACGGGGAGCGAGCGAGGUGGGGAAAUAGUUAGGAACAAGUAGGGGACCGAAAGGACC